Molecule: ribosomal RNA, 491 nt
Filed under: uncultured bacterium
Lineage: Bacteria
Description: partial 16S ribosomal RNA
Rfam family: Bacterial small subunit ribosomal RNA
Source: RNAcentral
GAUGAACGCUCGCGAUAGGCUUAACACAUGCAAGUCGAGGGGUAACGUGUUGGAAGCUUGCUUCCGAUAACGACGACCGGCGGAUGGGUGCGUAACGCGUAUGCAACUUGCCUCACAGUGGAGAAUAACCCGGAGAAAUCCGGACUAAUACUCCAUACACUCUUAAGUACGCCUGUACAUGAGAGGAAAGAUUUAUCGCUGUGAGAUAGGCAUGCGUCCUAUUAGGUAGUUGGUGAGGUAACGGCUCACCAAGCCGACGAUAGGUAGGGGUGCUGAGAGGCAGAUCCCCCACAUUGGGACUGAGACACGGCCCAAACUCCUACGGGAGGCAGCAGUGAGGAAUAUUGGUCAAUGGAGGAAACUCUGAACCAGCCAAGUCGCGUGAAGGAAGAAUGGCCUAAGGAGUGUAAACUUCUUUAGCGAGCGAGUAAGGACUUCCACGUGAUGGGAGUUUGAAAGUAGCUCGAGAAUAAGUAUCGGCUAACUCCGUG